GCUCUAGCUGCAAGAUUAUGGAAAAAGUCCUUUCGGAGAAACUGAGGUGCAAUUUAGGCUAACAAGGGUCACGCUGGAGCCUAUGUUGAGAUCCAUGGCCUACAUUAGCCAGCAGCUGUCAACACCAGCCAAUAGAGUUGCCGUCAUAAACUUGAAGCUCCAAGAUAUGAAGACUACUUCAGGAGAAACAGAGGUGAAAUUUCAAGUGUCAAGAGAUACACUCGGUUCCAUGUUGAGAUCGAUGGCCUACAUUCGUGAGCAACUCUGAAGUCAUCCCCUUGUGCUAAAGGAAGCAUGUUUCUGGUUAUGAACUCUAUUAAGAAGAGGUCUCUCAUGGUGAAGUUUCCCAUCACAGGUCGAGACUCAAAUUGAUCACUGUAUCGAGGCACAAAUGGCGAGCCGCUCUCCAUCUAAAAGGUUGUGUACCAUGUGAACAUUUUACUGACAGAAUCUAGUUUGGUUAUAGGUAGGCAUUUGGUUACCUAAGUUUUUAUCAACCACAAUUGGUUUGUUUGUAGUUAGGUCUGAUCAUCCAUAUGUAUACAUACAUCUAACGCGUAGAUGGUAUAUCGUUUCCAUGUAGAGGUGUAUUGGAAACCAUUUGUAAAUGUAUGUUGGCAACACUCAGAUCUUGAUUUAAUGCACAUUGCAGAUAUAGCUACAUAUCUUUCAUUUUUAA
This is a non-coding RNA of Carica papaya (papaya), 679 nucleotides long. The record is from RefSeq and is a predicted model, not a curated record. Lineage: Eukaryota; Viridiplantae; Streptophyta; Magnoliopsida; Brassicales; Caricaceae.